GAUGAACGCUGGCGGCGUGCCUAAUACAUGCAAGUCGAGCGAACGGACGAGAAGCUUGCUUUUCUGAUGUUAGCGGCGGACGGGUGAGUAACACGUGGAUAACCUACCUAUAAGACUGGGAUAACUUCGGGAAACCGGGGCUAAUACCGGAUAAUAUUUUGAACCGCAUGGUUCAAAAGUGAAAGACGGUCUUGCUGUCACUUAUCGAUGGAUCCGCGCUGCAUUAGCUAGUUGGUAAGGUAACGGCUUACCAAGGCAACGAUGCAUAGCCGACCUGAGAGGGUGAUAGGCCACACUGGAACUGAGACACGGUCCAGACUCCUACGGGAGGCAGCAGUAGGGAAUCUUCCGCAAUGGGCGAAAGCCUGACGGAGCAACGCCGCGUGAGUGAUGAAGGUCUUCGGAUCGUAAAACUCUGUUAUUAGGGAAGAACAUAUGUGUAAGUAACUGUGCACAUCUUGACGGUACCUAAUCAGAAAGCCACGGCUAACUACGUG
RNAcentral lists this ribosomal RNA (497 nucleotides) under uncultured bacterium. RNAcentral describes it as "partial 16S ribosomal RNA". It matches the Rfam family "Bacterial small subunit ribosomal RNA", at positions 28 to 507 of the family's 1533-position model. The record is from RNAcentral.